GAUGAACGCUGGCGGCGUGCCUAAUACAUGCAAGUCGAGCGAACAGACGAGGAGCUUGCUCCUCUGACGUUAGCGGCGGACGUGUGAGUAACACGUGGAUCACCUACCUAUAAGACUGGGAUAACUUCGGGAAACCGGAGCUAAUCCCGUAUAAUCUAUUGAACCGCAUGGUUCAAUAGUGAAAGACGGUUUUUCGGUCACUUAUAGCUGGAUCAGCGCCGCUUUGUCUGGUUGGUAAGUUAACGGCUUACCACGGCGACGAUGCGUAGCCGACGGGAGAGGCGGAUCGGCCGCACUGGAGGUGGACCGCGGUCAAGACUCCUACGGGAGGCAGCAGUAGGGAACGGUACGCAAUGGGGGAAAGCAUGACGGAGUAACGGGGAGUGAGAGAUGAAGGUCUUCGGAUCGGAAAAACCUGUUAUUAGGGAAGAACAAAUGUCGCAGUAACCGUGGAGGUAGUGACGGUAACGAAUAAGAAAGCAACGGCUAACUACGUG
This 497-nucleotide ribosomal RNA is filed under the name uncultured bacterium. Its description in RNAcentral is "partial 16S ribosomal RNA". It matches the Rfam family "Bacterial small subunit ribosomal RNA", at positions 28 to 507 of the family's 1533-position model. The record is from RNAcentral.